GGAGUUAGCCGGUGCUUCUUCUGCGAGUAACGUCACAGAUGUAAGGUAUUAACUUACACCCUUUCCUCCUCGCUGAAAGUGCUUUACAACCCGAAGGCCUUCUUCACACACGCGGCAUGGCUGCAUCAGGGUUUUCCCCCAUUGUGCAAUAUUCCCCACUGCUGCCUCCCGUAGGAGUCUGGGCCGUGUCUCAGUCCCAGUGUGGCUGAUCAUCCUCUCAGACCAGCUAGGGAUCGUCUCCUAGGUGAGCCUUUACCUCACCUACUAGCUAAUCCCACCUGGGCUUAUCCAUCAGCGCAAGGCCCGAAGGUCCCCUGCUUUCCCCCGGUAGGGCGUAUGCGGUAUUAGCAGUCGUUUCCAACUGUUAUCCCCCACAAAUGGGCAAAUUCCCAGGCAUUACUCACCCGUCCGCCGCUCGUCAUCUUCAAAAGCAAGCUUUUGAAAUGUUACCGCUCGACUUGCAUGUGUUAGGUCGUCGCCGCCGACGCGUUCUACUACUGAGCGACGAGUACAACCUACUGA
RNAcentral lists this ribosomal RNA (522 nucleotides) under uncultured bacterium. Its description in RNAcentral is "partial 16S ribosomal RNA". The record is from RNAcentral.